Molecule: long non-coding RNA, 1431 nt
Organism: Cydia splendana
Lineage: Eukaryota; Metazoa; Arthropoda; Insecta; Lepidoptera; Tortricidae
Exons: 3
Source: RefSeq, a predicted model, not a curated record
GUCUGCGCGUUCAUAUGUACCACCAUCGCAAGCAGGCUGCGUAUCUCGCGCAACUCCAGCCUGAGAACCACGUACCGAACGUCGAUGACAAGGUGUGGCGCGCCGAGGGACCCUACGGACCAGUAGAUUACAAGUUCAAUCCUGACGCGUUUCAAUCCCCAAUGCCGCUGCCGGCCGCCGAAGCGCCAGCCAAACCGGAACCGGACGCGGAGACCGCAUGAUGCCGGUGGGACGAGCUGGCCACGCCCGACCAGCUGUACCGCGUCUUCACGCAGCAGAGCCGGUGGGUGCGCAGCGUGUUCACCAUCAGGGGUUAGGGGGCGAUGCCUCCUUUAGGGGGCUUUGCCCCUUUAGGGGGACACCACGUAAAAAAAGGUUAAUAACCAUUAGUGUCUUUAGACGGCUCACACAAGUUCACACCUCAAGGGUAUAGGUUUAUUUGACGCCCCCUCUAGGGGGACAUGACUCGAAAUCUCGUCUACUUAUGUGGCAGACUGUCCAUUUUUCUAGAAAUAUCUGUUACCAAGCUAUCUCUCCAUGGCAUUUGUAAUGAUAAAGCGUGGUAACGUUAUCAUUAAUUUCAUGUUUAUAAUGACACAAUAUGAACUGUAGGUGGCAGCACCUGCCUAUUUGCAUUAAAAGUUAAUGUCGUGACGUGAUAAUGUCUGUUUAAGAUUUGCGCCAAGAGGUGGCAGGCCUUUAAUUGCGUACGGUCAUCAUCAUCAUAUGAAGCUCUCUAAAAACUUUGUGACUGCUAAACAAUUGUAUUUAAUAUUUGACAACGCCCUUAAAACCCUUGGUGUGUGAAUCUUGAAACAACAUUCCAUAUUUAUAAGAUUAAUAAUUCUCAAACUAUUCUCUUAGAUACGAGGUGAAAUUAUUAUUUAUACGUUUUUAUACAUUCCAAAAAAAAUCUGAUUUAUCGAAAUCAAACAUUCCCUAGCCAUUACAUAUUCAGCUUUAUAAAAGGUAACGUAGUACAGUCGCCAUCAGAUAUAUCGGAGCGGUCAAGGCGCUCACAAAUAUCGGAACACGCCUCUAUUGUCAAGGCGUUAGAGUGCGUGUUCAGGUAUUGUGAACACCUCGGCCGCUCCGAUAUAUCUGAUGGCGACUGUACAUCAAAUAUAACGUAGCAUUUAAUUUUAGUUUAUUAUUAUUUAAAAUUAUGUUCGUAUUUUGAGAUCCGGUACGUAUUUUUGAACAAAAAACUGUUGUAGUACCACUCAACUCCCAAAGACUGACGCAAUCGUGAACAAAAAUAUCGUGCCUAAUAUAACCUCAAAUUUAUCCACUUAGUGCAUAAUUGUUUUCCAUCCUAUUUCUCGGAAACGUUCGUAUUUGUCAUACUAAUUCAGUCCCCCUCAGUACUUAUAGUACCGAGACUGACUGAACUAGCAUGACACGUUCGUACGUUUCCGUGAAAAUACUCCU